Molecule: ribosomal RNA, 392 nt
Filed under: uncultured bacterium
Lineage: Bacteria
Description: partial 16S ribosomal RNA
Rfam family: Bacterial small subunit ribosomal RNA
Source: RNAcentral
AUACGGAGGAUCCGAGCGUUAUCCGGAUUUAUUGGGUUUAAAGGGUGCGCAGGCGGCCAUUUAAGUCAGCGGUUAAAUCGUGGGGCUCAACCCCAUUCUGCCGUUGAUACUGGGUGGCUUGAUUGCGGUCGAGGUUGGCGGAAUUCGUUGUGUAGCGGUGAAAUGCAUAGAUAUGACGAAGAACACCGAUUGCGUAGGCAGCUGACCAGACCGCAAAUGACGCUCAUGCACGAAAGUGCGGGGAUCGAACAGGAUUAGAUACCCUGGUAGUCCGCACAGUAAACGAUGAAUACUUGUUUUCGGCGAUAUAAUGUCGGAGGCUAAGCGAAAGCGAUAAGUAUUCCACCUGGGGAGUACGCCGGCAACGGUGAAACUCAAAGGAAUUGACGGGG